Non-coding RNA from Acanthopagrus latus (yellowfin seabream), 1896 nucleotides. The record is from the annotation of a RefSeq genome assembly. NCBI's taxonomy places the organism in Eukaryota, Metazoa, Chordata, Actinopteri, Spariformes, Sparidae.
GUUUCAACAUCAACCAUGUUUUCUGUAGCUCUGCUGCUGCUGUUGGCAGCUGGAUGUGUGAAGUGUGAUCAGUUGACACAGCCAGCCUCUGUGACUGUGCAGCCAGGUCAACGUCUGACCAUCACCUGUCAGGUCUCUUAUUCUCUCAGCAGCUAUCGCACUCACUGGAUCAGACAGCCUGCAGGGAAAGGACUGGAGUGGAUUGGUGGUGCACAUGUUGGAUACAGCACCUACAUGAAAGCGUCACUUAAGAACAAGUUCAGUAUCAACUCAGACUCUUCUAGCAACACAGUGACUCUAAAUGGACAGAAUGUGCAGUCUGAAGACACUGCUGUGUAUUACUGUGCCAGAGAGCGGUGGCCAUACUACUUUGACUACUGGGGAAAAGGGACAAUGGUGACCGUCACAUCAGCUGCUUCAACUCAACCAACUGUGUUUCCCCUGAUGCAAUGUGGCUCUGGGACUGGAAACACAGUGACUCUUGGCUGUUUUGCAACUGGCUUCACACCCUCCUCACUGACCUAUGCAUGGACCACAAAUGGGGCUGCCAUGACAAACUCCAUUCAGUACCCUCCGGUACAGAAAGGCAACCUCUAUACGGGAAUCAGUCAAAUCCAAGUGCAGAAACAGGACUGGGAUCAAAGACAGACUUUCCAAUGUGCCGUGACACAUGCAGCGGGAAAUCCACCAGCCGUUACUUUCCAAAAGCCAGUGCCUCCAAUUUCUAGGCUGCCAACUCUCAGCGUGUCUGCCUCCUCUGGUGGGGAAAACCUGGCUUCCUUCUCCUGCUUUGCCAAAGGUUUUUCACCAAACACUUACCAAUUCAAAUGGCUGAAAAAUGAGGAGGACAUCACCAAAAAAAUAGACGAGAUCAUGACAGCGUCUGAGGAAAGAGUGGACAAUGGAACGAAAGUGUACAGUGCUGCAAGUGUUCUCUUGGUAGAGUCCAGUGAGUGGGUCAUGGGUACUACGUUUACAUGUCUGUUUGAGGGGAGAGGUGAAGGCGACAUUCCAAGAUUUGUGAAUUCAUCUGUGACCUACCGCCCUGUAAUACCAACAACCCCUGACGAAUGUCCUGACGAAUAUGUGGACAUAACGAUCAUUGGCCCAACAAUGGAGGACAUGUUGGUACACAAAAAAGGGAAGCUUGAGUGUCAUGCCCUGGAAAACAAGAAAUCUAUUGACAAGAUGUACUUCACAAGCGAAAAAGGAGACGAAAUGCUUACUUCUGAAAAGAAACUGAUUGAUGGCAAUAAAAAAGAACACAUCAUUUCUAUUGACAUCACAUACGACGAAUGGAGCCUGGGGGUAAAGCGCAUCUGUGUUGUUGAACAUUCAGAGACUUUGGACCCAUUGAAGAAAGUCUAUGAAAGUGAUUUUGGAGGACAACCUCAGCGUCCUUCAGUGUUUAUGAUGCCUCCAGUUGAACAUACUAGAAAAGACAAGGUGACCCUGACUUGCUAUGUGAAAGACUUCUUGCCUAAGGAGGUUUACGUGGCUUGGCUUGUUGACGACGACGCUGCAGACUCAAAAGAUGCCCAGACCACAAACCCAAUAGAAAAGGAGGGACUCUAUUCUGCAUAUGGCCAGUUAACGGUCAGCCUCGAGAAGUGGAAACAGAAUGACGUGGUGUACAGCUGUGUAGUUUACCACGCGUCUGUGGCUAACACAACUAGAGCUAUUGUCAGGUCCAUCGGGUACAGAACAUUUGAAAACACCAACCUGGUCAACCUCAACAUGAACGUCCCUGAUACGUGCAAGGCCCAGUAGAUGUCACUCUGUGUUGUUGUGUCUUCUGCUGUUUGUUGUUUAAAUGUUUGUUGCUUGUGAUACAUUGUGUUUGUCUUUUUAAUGCAGACUGAAAAUCAAAAUAAAAAAAUGCUCUUUGCAACUCUU